Molecule: long non-coding RNA, 413 nt
Filed under: Mus musculus (house mouse)
Lineage: Eukaryota; Metazoa; Chordata; Mammalia; Rodentia; Muridae
Description: predicted gene, 48399
Source: RNAcentral
UGUUGGGAAUUGAGCUGCCGACUAUCAACUAAUCACAAAUGGUAUUUCAGAGAAGAUUCUAUAUAAGUUUUCAUCUUGAAAUGUUUUAUCAUUUCAAACUAAGAAGUUUGGAUUUUAUCCUGAGAGCACAUAUAUGAUGACUGAGAAAAUUCUAGUUGUAAUAUGAAGACCAGAGUGAACAAAAUAAUGCUGAAGGUAUUGACACAAAUGCUACAAAGGACCAGAAGGACUCUAUAUAGCUCUCAAUACCUGAGGAAUUCCACCACAGCAAGAAGAUCCUAUUUAUAUAAUUCUGAAUCGAAAUGAGGAAAACCAGAUGAAGAUGCUAUAGCAGGACAAAGGAUAUCCAGUCUUUUAAAGUGUUAUUUUAGAAACAGGUACCAAAAUAUACAAUAAAUAAAAUUAAAGCCCCA